This 994-nucleotide long non-coding RNA is filed under the name Malus domestica (apple). RNAcentral describes it as "long non-coding RNA (MDOM_LNC008886)". The record is from RNAcentral. Lineage: Eukaryota; Viridiplantae; Streptophyta; Magnoliopsida; Rosales; Rosaceae.
CCUUACACCUCUCCACCACCACCGGCCUCUCCUCCCUACCAUUACAAGUCACCACCGCCUCCUUCUCCUUCUCCUCCAGUGCACUACUCACCACCUAAGCAUCCCUACCACCCUAAGUCACCACCACCUCCUGUGUACGCACCACCUAAGCAUCCCUACCACCCUAAGUCACCACCACCUCCUGUGUACCCACCACCUAAGCAUCCCUACCACCCCAAGUCACCACCACCAUCACCAAAGCCUUACCACUACAAAUCCCCACCACCACCUCCUGCUCCAGUGCACUCACCACCCCCACCUAAGGAGCCAUACCACUACAAGUCCCCACCACCACCACCCAAGAAGCCCUACCACUACAAAUCUCCCCCACCACCUCCUCCUCCAGUUCACUCACCACCACCACCCAAGGAGCCUUACCACUACAAAUCUCCACCACCACCACCCAAGAAACCUUACUAUUACAAGUCUCCUCCACCACCACCAAAGAAGCCUUACCACUACAUGUCUCCUCCCCCACCGGUGUACUCACCACCUCCACCAGUGCACUCACACCCACCACCAAAAAAGCCUUACCAUUACAAAUCUCCUCCCCCGCCAGAAUAUUCACCAGCUCCACCAGUGCACUCAACCCCACCACCAAAGAAGCCCUACCAUUACAAAUCCCCACCACCACCACCACCACACAAGAAGCCUUAUUACCCUGUUCACUCACCACCUCCACCUAAGAAGCCUUACCACUACAAAUCCCCACCACCACCUUCUCCUACUCCUCCUAAAUACUCACCACCUAAGCACCCCUACCACUACAAGUCUCCACCACCACCACCAAAGAAGCCUUACCAUUACAAGUCCCCACCACCUCCUUCUCCUACUCCCCCUAAAUACUCACCACCUAAGCACCCCUACCACUACAAGUCACCACCACCACCACCCCAAGAAGCCUUACCACUACAAGUCUCCACCACCACCACCUCCUCCAGUUCCCACACCAUCU